Molecule: ribosomal RNA, 1032 nt
Filed under: Triticum aestivum (bread wheat)
Lineage: Eukaryota; Viridiplantae; Streptophyta; Magnoliopsida; Poales; Poaceae
Description: partial small subunit ribosomal RNA
Source: RNAcentral
AUGAAGACCCAGACCCUCUUGAAGACCCCAAAUUCUGGCUUAUCCAUCCAACCGCACCAACUUCAACAUCCCGAAUGUCUUUGCAGAAGCGGGAUGAUCCUCCAGUGCAGCAACCCCUCAAAGUAUAUUGAAGAUUAUUCUAAUGUCCGAAACCACCCAGCUGCUGAAAUUUGCUACAAACGAGCUAUUUGGGAUUCUACACCUGACACCCAAACUCCUGGAUUACGCAAUAAACCUUCUAACAGCAACCAUCCAAGCCCAGGGCCUCACACACAGUGUUACCGACAGUCCGGUCCUUCCAUAGGCACUGGUUCAUCUUGGCAUACCACACCACAAACCAAUGUUUCUUCGCAACACUAUCGCACUCCUCGAUUAUGCACUGCCAAUGAAUUUUCGAUUCACAUGAAGGACAGAUACCCUAAUCUGGUAUACACUGAGGUUGGUAUAAUGCUAAAAGAGCACAAUGCCAUAACAUUCAAGAUGAUUGCCGAUGUGAAAGACUCCAUAUUGAAACAGAAUACCCAAUUCCUAGACAAAAUAGCUCCAAAGUUGGAGAACAGAUGCACACACUGCUUAAAAAGAGCAACCCCCUGCCUGCUUCAACCCAAUAAUCAGGCACCCCGACCCAAUGAUAGCACAUUUACCACACCGGAUAAUAAUUCUGGAUUGAAACAUCCACGUCUCUACACACAUGAUUCUGAAGGCUUUAGUCCAACUUCAUCUUCAACCAACAAAAGGAAAGGAUUACAUACCUCACACCACAGGCAAACAGGCUCAUCAUCAUUGCACAAACCUGAAUCUUCCACCGUUGUUCAUGCCAAAUCGAAGCAUGAUACAAUCAAAUCAUGGGCAGACACUAUUUUUGGCGGAAUUAUCAUGUGCAAUGAUGACAUAUCUGUCCCUGAUGGAUCGGUCAUUCGUGGUCAAGAAUCCGCACGCCCUCAAGAAAAAGUUGUUGUCAACCAUUCUCAUUACGCCAUUAGUCAUUGGUCACCCGGUAGGACCACCGGCUUCCCAUCAAUAGCCCUCUAG